AGUGAACGCUGGCGGUAGGCCUAACACAUGCCAGUCGAACGGCAGCACAGUAAGAGCUUGCUCUUACGGGUGGCGAGUGGCGGACGGGUGAGGAAUACAUCGGAAUCUACUUUUUCGUGGGGGAUAACGUAGGGAAACUUACGCUAAUACCGCAUACGACCUACGGGUGAAAGCAGGGGAUCUUCGGACCUUGCGCGAAUGAAUGAGCAGAUGUUGGAUUAGCUAGUUGGCGGGGGAAAGGCCCACCAAGGCGACGAUCCGUAGCUGGUCUGAGAGGAUGAUCAGCCACACGGGAUCUGAGACACGGUCCUGACUCCUACGGGAGGCAGCAGUGGGGAAUAUUGGACAAUGGGCGCAAGCCUGAACCAGCCAUACCGCGUGGGUGAAGAAGGCCUUCGGGUUGUAAAGCCCUUUUGUUGGGAAAGAAAAGCAGCAGUUUAAUACCCCGCUGUUCUGACGGUACCCAAAGAAUAAGCACCGGCUAACUUCGUG
RNAcentral lists this ribosomal RNA (492 nucleotides) under uncultured bacterium. RNAcentral's name for it is "partial 16S ribosomal RNA". It matches the Rfam family "Bacterial small subunit ribosomal RNA", at positions 29 to 507 of the family's 1533-position model. The record is from RNAcentral.